GAACAUAUAAUAACCUCUUCUUUCGCUAUUUUCACCAUGGCCAAAAUUCGGGAUUUUAUGCAGUCGUGAUACAGCUCCUAUGACGAUCAUUCCGUCCCAUAUUCCUCGGAUGAUCGGCCAAUUCGAAAUAAGAAACAGUGAGCAGCCCCGAUAUAAGGUAUUGAUUCAGGCGCACUCUGGACGGCCUUUGGCAAACCCUUCCUAGUACUGUUAGGUUAUGAAAAUAAUCAGUUAGAGAGAAGAUUUAGUUAUCGAUAACUAGUUGAGAUUGACCUUUGAGGAUUGGACAUGAUAUUUAAAUUAUUAAUUAGAUAUUAGGUAUAUACCUCCCCAAAAAAACUUUUGAAUAAAAAUAAAGAAUCAAAUCAAAAAAAAAAAAAAAGGGCAUUUCCUCCCUCCGAUAUCGUUAUUCAUUGAUUCUCCCCGCGUACUCCUGGCUGCGCCCUCCAUUCUGCGUUGAGAGUAUACCUUACUUAGUUGAAAAAGAAAACCCCAACACUAUCCAUCAUCAAUUACCUGUUACCUACCCCGUUCUCGCUAGUUUGCGCACU
This 551-nucleotide small RNA is filed under the name Histoplasma capsulatum var. duboisii H88. RNAcentral's name for it is "Histoplasma capsulatum H88 hypothetical RNA". Lineage: Eukaryota; Fungi; Ascomycota; Eurotiomycetes; Onygenales; Ajellomycetaceae. The record is from RNAcentral.